ACCAUGUGUUUUUGGGCAAACGGGCACAACCCCAUUGACGAUAUACCCGUACCUAGUACACAACGGUAACCACUAACCGGUGAAGGACUACCAUUCGAAUUCGACGAGCUGUAUAACAUCCUUAUCUUUCUGUGGAUAGUCUCAUAGUCAGUAAAUUCUGUUUCGGCGCAAAACCCACAAUUUCAUAGCCAUCCAUUCAAGCAAAGCAGCAGCCUUUCGCAUCGGUUCUGCAAAUCUAUGCCAUAAUUGGAUUAUAAGGCCUUGGUUCACCAACAUGAUCAACCUUUCGAUGUAGCAUCAUAAUCAAUCCAAGAUUUCAUCUUUUCUCCACUAUUAAGCACCAAAUUCAAUGAAGAAACAUUAACCAGUCACCGACACAAAGCCACCCACAUUCACCCUCUAUAUGAUUCGCAUUCAAAUCAUUCAUGGUUUGAUUGAUUUCGGUGUAAAUACCCAGAAAUCGAUUUCAAUUUGUUCCAAGAAAAGUAAAUUUUGUUUAUUUCAUAAGGAUGGUUAAUAAUUGUCCUCGGGAAAUAGAGGAUGAUGGAAUACAGGAUGUUCAAAAGCCGUCGUCCUCUUUAGACAGAGCUGAAGAAAGCCCAGACAAUAAACAUGCCACAUAGAACUCGACCUAUGACUGCACUUUUGGUGUUUACUGGACUGAAUGCUAUCCUAGUUUCAACCAUUACUCCUGUCUAUGAUUUCGUCUGCUUUCUUCCUUUUUGGGAAAGACGGAGGGAACGACUUCGUCAGGAACGUGAACCUACUUUAUUAAAGAGUUCGGAAUCAAGAUAGAAGUAUUGAUUAGUCUUUUUUUUUUUUUUUUUUUUUUCGGUCUGUUAUACUUGUUGCAGUAGAGGUUUUUGAUGUAUUCUAGCUUUCUUAGAUCUUAGUAUAGAAAGAUACAAUGAGUAAUGAAGCUUUUGCUUUUGCCAAUGAGACAUGAGAUGUUGUCUUGUUUAUGGUGUUUCUUUCUAACAUACUGUUAAAUUACACCGUUACAGAGUUACAGUUCAUGCUCUUAAUCAGAUAAGUUACGUUAUUUAGGCAUUUGAACAGAAUAUUUAAUGGUUGAUUUCUUUCCAAUUGUUGGGUUGACGCUGUACGUGCUCUCUUAUUGGAGAAAGUUUUGCU
Long non-coding RNA from Rosa rugosa (rugosa rose), 1134 nucleotides. RefSeq lists it as uncharacterized. The record is from RefSeq and is a predicted model, not a curated record. The transcript has 5 exons. NCBI's taxonomy places the organism in Eukaryota, Viridiplantae, Streptophyta, Magnoliopsida, Rosales, Rosaceae.